UGGGGAAUUUUGGACAAUGGGGGAAACCCUGAUCCAGCCAUCCCGCGUGUGCGAUGAAGGCCUUCGGGUUGUAAAGCACUUUUGGCAGGGAAAGAAACGUCGCGGGUUAAUACCCCGCGAAACUGACGGUACCUGCAGAAUAAGACCGGCUAACUACGUGCCAGCAGCCGCGGUAAUACGUAGGGUGCAAGCGUUAAUCGGAAUUACUGGGCGUAAAGCGUGCGCAGGCGGUUCGGAAAGAAAGAUGUGAAAUCCCAGAGCUUAACUUUUGGGAACUGCAUUUUUAACUACCGGGCUAGAGUGUGUCAGAGGGAGGUGGAAUUCCGCGUGUAGCAGUGAAAUGCGUAGAUAUGCGGAGGAACACCGAUGGCGAAGGCAGCCUCCUGGGAUAACACUGACGCUCAUGCACGAAAGCGUGGGGAGCAAACAGGAUUAGAUACCCUGGUAGUCCACGCCCUAAACGAUGUCAACUAGCUGUUGGGGCCUUCGGGCCUUGGUAGCGCAGCUAACGCG
RNAcentral lists this ribosomal RNA (513 nucleotides) under uncultured bacterium. RNAcentral's name for it is "partial 16S ribosomal RNA". It matches the Rfam family "Bacterial small subunit ribosomal RNA", at positions 355 to 859 of the family's 1533-position model. The record is from RNAcentral.